RNAcentral lists this small RNA (475 nucleotides) under Malus domestica (apple). Lineage: Eukaryota; Viridiplantae; Streptophyta; Magnoliopsida; Rosales; Rosaceae. The record is from RNAcentral.
GGAGCUCACUGGCUUCGAGUUCCAUCGGAACUCCGAAGUUAAGCGAGUAGCGCGCGAGAGCACUCCCAUGAUGGGUGACCCACUGGGAAGUUCUCGUGUGAGUUCCCAGAAACAAAACCGUGAGGGCAUGGUCGGGGCCCAAAGCGGACAAUAUCGUGCUAAUAUCGUGCUACGAUGGUGGAGCGAGCCCGGGAAGUGAUACUCCCCGAGCUGGGAUGUGACAGAUUGGUAUCAAAGCCUAACCCUGACUGUGAUGUGUCGACGAGGACGUCGGGCCCCUAAAGAGGGUGGAUUGUAAGAUCCCACAUCGCCCAGGGAGAGUGAUCCUUAUAUGUAUAUUCUCAUCCCUACCUAGCACGAGGCCUUUUGGAAACUCACUGGCUUCGGGUUCCAUCCAAACUCUGAAGUUAAGCGAGUAGGGCGCGAGAGCACUCCCAUGAUGGGUGGCCCACUGAGAAGUUCUUGUGUGAGUUCC